UCCCUAUUGGCUCAGCAGGUAAAGAAUCUGCCUACAAUGCAGGAGAUACAGGCUCAAUCCCUGGGUAGGGAU
This 72-nucleotide transfer RNA is filed under the name Bos taurus (domestic cattle). It matches the Rfam family "tRNA". From Rfam's summary of the family: Transfer RNA (tRNA) molecules are approximately 80 nucleotides in length. The record is from Rfam by way of RNAcentral. RNAcentral also lists the same sequence under 3 other names. Lineage: Eukaryota; Metazoa; Chordata; Mammalia; Artiodactyla; Bovidae.